RNAcentral lists this microRNA precursor (84 nucleotides) under Bombyx mori (domestic silkworm). Its description in RNAcentral is "mir-2807 microRNA precursor family". It matches the Rfam family "mir-2807 microRNA precursor family". Lineage: Eukaryota; Metazoa; Arthropoda; Insecta; Lepidoptera; Bombycidae. The record is from Rfam by way of RNAcentral.
UUAGCUCAUAUUUGUAUGGAAUGGGAUCGUUUGCGUACGUUUGCCGCUAGGGGCGCUGAUCCAACUGCGUACAAAAUUGGGUUA